This is a long non-coding RNA of Neopsephotus bourkii (Bourke's parrot), 849 nucleotides long. RefSeq lists it as uncharacterized. NCBI's taxonomy places the organism in Eukaryota, Metazoa, Chordata, Aves, Psittaciformes, Psittacidae. The record is from RefSeq and is a predicted model, not a curated record. The transcript has 4 exons.
UAUACAGGCAAUGGCUAAACAGUGUGUGCUUCCCAGAAGCUUUAAAUACGGACUGCAUUUAAAAGUCCCAAUGUUCAUACAGAGGGGCUGUUCCCAGAAAAUGUAAUUUUAGUUGAAAUGGUGUUUACGCAGGUGUGAGAGCUGGACCUAUGGCUUCUCUCCAUAUCUCCUAAACAAGACUUCUCUUCUUUAACACUUUGGUAUUCUCAGGUUUGCUGUGAAGAAAACCAGCAGUUCAACUGGGCUAAAAGAACAACUUCAAGCAUUUCAUCUGGAUUGCCAGAGAGGGAAAAGAGAGGAGACAGAUGUGCACCACAAGCAAAACGUCACCUGGAAUUUUAUGGAGAAAUCCUGCACUGGGGAUUUGAAUGCAGCAUGCUUGCAUAUGAAAUGUCAGAAUUGCAAGGACAAGGACAGCAGUGAAAUUUAAAAGGUGACAGAUAAGACAGAUGGCUGAGCAGAAGUGGUCUGCAUUGCCAUGGAGAAAAGCCUGAUGCCAUCCUCAGCAAUCAGUGCUCAAGCUUGCAAGAGUCUGGCUGCUAUGGAAGCAUCCGAGCCAACCCUGGGUGUUGCAAUAUGCCAGUUUUCCCAGAAACAGAUUGAUGUACAAUGUGUACGAUUUUUUAUUUUCUUGAGGGAGGAGGGGAGAACUAUCUAUGGAUUUGGGGCUGUGAUUUGGCUUUGGAUUUUGUCUUAUCAAUGCAUUUAUUGACACCUCAGAAGAUUUCUUUGAAAUAGAGAUGAUAUUGUGCAUAUUAGCAUAUCCUUCUUGGAAAUUACUCCUGCUUUUUUCCCCACAGGGAAAGCAGAAAACCACUGUUUGUACAGAAUAUACUGAUUUCUACUCAC